Molecule: ribosomal RNA, 253 nt
Filed under: uncultured bacterium
Lineage: Bacteria
Description: partial 16S ribosomal RNA
Rfam family: Bacterial small subunit ribosomal RNA
Source: RNAcentral
UGCGUAGGGUGCAAGCGUUAAUCGGAAUUACUGGGCGGAAAGCGUGCGCAGGCGGUUCGGAAAGAAAGAUGUGAAAUCCCAGAGCUUAACUUUGGAACUGCAUUUUUAACUACCGAGCUAGAGUGUGUCAGAGGGAGGUUGAAUUCCGCGUGUAGCAGUGAAAUGCGUAUAUAUGUGGAGGAAUACCGAUGGCGAAGGCAGCCCCCUGGGUCGAUACUGACGCUCAUGCACGAAAGCGUGGGGAGCAAACAGG